CACUGACAAUAUUGACACCGAAUAUGAUGGCGAUUGGUGAAUUGGUGAAUGACAAUUACGGCUUUUAUAGCAGAUUUUAUUGUCGUCGUCGAAGUUAAAAAAAUAUUUCAUAAAAUACCUUUAAAAAAUUGGAUGAAUCUGACUCCUACAUCUCCCUCUUAUGAACAAAAGGAAACAUCCGUCCUGAAUCAUUAUACUGUUUAAAUCUCCUUAAUAUGGAAAAUGGAAGUUGGCUAUUGGAUAUAGAAUAUGAUGGAUACAAAUGAGUUGAUGCGAUAAAUCAAUUUGCAGAAAUAUGUACGUGUUUCAAUGACUUUUUGUAUCAAAAAUGGGGUUGUUUGUGUGUCUGAUAACCUGCUGUUAAAAUCUGGGCAACGUCAAUGCUGUAUACCAAUAUUAAUAUGCUAUGUUUCAAGAAUAAGAGGAAAAUAAACCAGCACCGGAGUUUUUCAAAAAAUAUGGGAUAAAAAAUAAUUCUUUACUUCUAGAAAAAUAUAAAGAUUAUGUCAAACCUAUUUCGCGUUUAUUAUCGAUUUCAUGAAAUUUGUUCCAAAACUGCCAAAACUAUAAAUUAUAGAAUAUACGAGUAUACUGUUCACCAUAGAACUUGUCCAUUACGUGGACAUUCACGUAUCACAUAUACAACGGAAUUUCGAUGAAUAUAAUUCCAGAUAUAUGAAAAAUCAAGUUAUCAAGAAUUUGGAGUUAUAAAAAAUGAGUAUAUUUUUGCUUAUUUUGUUAAAAUGAUAAAAAAUAUAAUCUUUUAAAUAAACACAACGGUAGAAUAAUAAUAUCUACAAAUAAAUUAGAAUGAAAAUUGGAUUUUAUAAACUUAAGUCUCGACGAUAAACUGCUUCAAUACAUUGUGUUUUGAUCAACGAAAACAGAACACGAACAGUAAGACAAUACGCGAUAGGUGGACGUGGAUGAUGAAUGAUUAUAGUUUGAUUUAUCAAUAAUAUCGACUUAUCGAGUUUAGACAUUAUAUUAUAUUUGAAUCUAAGUACUGAAAAUUUCAAUGGCAGCUACAAUCACAACACAGCACACAAUAUCGACUUAAACGUUUGUUAUAAAAAUGACUGAUACGACAAAUCGACGGCGUUGCCGGAGGUUCUUCGGGACCAUAACAGUUACUACGGUUUUUUUUUUUUAUUUGAAAACGAUCGACUCUCAAUACAAAACAAAUAAUAAAUAAUAAAUGCGCAAGACGACACGUCGGAAAAACGUUCGAUUUUUACUAACUUAUAUUCUUUGCACCCAAUAAAUACGAUUUAUAUUUGAUUUUUACGUGCUUAAUAAUGGUUUUUAUUUUUUAAUCAUUUUUUACAUGAUACUUGUUGAGCUCAAAACGGAAGUUAGCAUGAUGCGCGACGAUCCAUAAAAGAGUAGGUACAUUUGUACCAUAUAUAAUCAGAAUUUUGAUCAUACAUUAAUUUUAUUUUAUUAACAUCAUGUCGUCAUCGUGUUUCAAUUUGAUAACUAAUUGUAUAUAAAUAUCAACAACAUCGAAGAUCAAUUCGUACAACUGUCAGGAGUUUUGUUAAAAACUUACGACCCGAAAAAUCCACGGAACCUUACAAUAUCUUUUAAAUCUACACGCCAAAACCGUUUUAAGCCAUCAGAACUAAAAGCGUCAAAUAAGUACACAAAACCGUCAUUAAAAAAAAACUUAACUGUCAGAAUUUGAGUUCAUUAACGCCAUUUUACUUGUAUACUUACUACACUUGUACACAAUUUGUACACGACUAACAAGAUUAUUAGAAUUGUGUAUUGUUGCCCAUCAUCGUAUUUCGAUAAAGUGUGAUAUACCUAUGGGUAUAGGCAUAGUUAAUCUUACCAAUGUCUUAGGCGAAGCAUGCACAUAUUAUCAAGUAUAGAUAUAUAUAAUCCACUAAACGAUACUAAACGUAAAACGGCACUUGUAAUGUGAGAUGUGAAUUUAAUACUAAAAUGAUAAAACCUUUUUUCUCAAAUAAUAUACUAACCUACUUUUAAACUUAUAUUUUUAUAGUUAAU
Molecule: long non-coding RNA, 2016 nt
Organism: Aphis gossypii (cotton aphid)
Lineage: Eukaryota; Metazoa; Arthropoda; Insecta; Hemiptera; Aphididae
Exons: 6
Source: RefSeq, a predicted model, not a curated record